GAUGAACGCUGGCGGCGUGCCUAAUACAUGCAAGUCGAGCGGACGGACGAGAAGCUUGCUUCUCUGAUGUUAGCGGCGGACGUGAGAGUAACACGUGUAUAACCUACCUAUAAUACUGGGAUCACCUCGAGAAACCGGCUCUAAUACCGGAUAAUCUCUUGAACCGCAGUGUUGAAUAGUGAAAGACGGUCUUGCUGUCACUUAUAGAUGGAUCCGCGCUGCAUUAGCUGGUUGGUAAGUUAACGGGUUACCAAGGGGACGAUGCAUAGCCGACCGGAGGGGGUGAUCGGCCACCCUAGAAGUUAGACGGGGUCCAGGCUCCUAAGAGACGCAGCAGUAGCGAAUCGGCCGCAAUGGGCGAGAACCUGACGGAGCAACGCCGCGUCUGUGGUGACAACCCUGGGAUCGUAAAAAUCUGUUUUUAGGUGUGAACAGAUGUGUAAGUUGCUGAACACAUAGUGACGGUACCUAAUAAGAAAGCACCGGCUAACUACGUG
Molecule: ribosomal RNA, 497 nt
Filed under: uncultured bacterium
Lineage: Bacteria
Description: partial 16S ribosomal RNA
Rfam family: Bacterial small subunit ribosomal RNA
Source: RNAcentral